Molecule: long non-coding RNA, 618 nt
Organism: Cucumis melo (muskmelon)
Lineage: Eukaryota; Viridiplantae; Streptophyta; Magnoliopsida; Cucurbitales; Cucurbitaceae
Exons: 3
Source: RefSeq, a predicted model, not a curated record
CAAUAUUUAUAAACUUUGGAGCGCAAUGCUGGAAAUAUUUAGUGGUCUACUAAAGAUGCAUAAUGAUAAGUUUUCACUGGCGGCUAUUGGAAACAUUUUAGUUCUUUCAGGUCCAAGAAGUACAGCCCAACUAGCUAAAGAGGAUGACGAUCUUUGGGGUUCCAUAGCUGCCCUUGCUCCAAGAACUGUCUCAAACUUAUUGAACGUAAAAUCAAGUGCACCUACGACUCGAGCCAAGCCAUUGUCAGCUGGUAGGGGAAGAGGAAACAAAGCACUUGCUUCAAAAUUAGGGGCAUAAAGGACUAAUCGAACAUCGUUUACUGAAUUACAAAAGAAAUGCAUAUACAAAAGCAGACUUGCAAUGCACGAAUGCAUAUACAAAAGAGGUUGAGAGUUGAUUGCCUUCUGAUGCAAAUAUCAAUAAUGUUGCGAAGAUUGGCUCUGUUGUUGGUGGUACUUAUUUUAGCUCAUGAAUUGGAGGUAGUAGAGGAUGCAGAAUGCAAGUUUAUUUGAAGCCAAGUUUUAUUCAAGGUCAUUGAGUUGGGUUGAUAGAAGUAAUGUUUUGUAUAUAACAAUAUCGAACAAAUAUGUAAAGUUUUCGAAAUGUUGAUACAUAUA